AAUAAGGGCGCGACUAACUACGAUAAGCUUUGGUGAGCGGUAAGUACGCUAUGACCCAAAGAUUUCCGAAUGGGGAAACCCAACUCGUAAGAGUUGUCUGUAUCUGAAUACAUAGGAUAUUUGACGGAAUACGCUGUG
Molecule: ribosomal RNA, 138 nt
Filed under: Leuconostoc mesenteroides subsp. mesenteroides
Lineage: Bacteria; Bacillati; Bacillota; Bacilli; Lactobacillales; Lactobacillaceae
Description: partial 23S ribosomal RNA
Rfam family: Bacterial large subunit ribosomal RNA
Source: RNAcentral